UACGUAGGUGGCAAGCGUUGUCCGGAUUUACUGGGCGUAAAGCGUGCGUAGGUGGUUCGUUAAGUCUGAUGUGAAAGCCCUGGGCUCAACCUGGGAACUGCAUUGGAUACUGGCGAUCUGGAGUGCGGUAGAGGGUGGCGGAAUUCCCGGUGUAGCAGUGAAAUGCGUAGAUAUCGGGAGGAACAUCCGUGGCGAAGGCGGCCACCUGGACCAGCACUGACACUGAGGCACGAAAGCGUGGGGAGCAAACAGG
Molecule: ribosomal RNA, 253 nt
Filed under: uncultured bacterium
Lineage: Bacteria
Description: partial 16S ribosomal RNA
Rfam family: Bacterial small subunit ribosomal RNA
Source: RNAcentral